This 510-nucleotide ribosomal RNA is filed under the name uncultured bacterium. RNAcentral's name for it is "bacterial SSU rRNA". It matches the Rfam family "Bacterial small subunit ribosomal RNA", at positions 954 to 1465 of the family's 1533-position model. The record is from RNAcentral.
AAGCAACGCGAAGAACCUUACCAGGUCUUGACAUCUCCUGACCUCCCUAGAGAUAGGGCCUUCCCUUCGGGGACAGGAUGACAGGUGGUGCAUGGUUGUCGUCAGCUCGUGUCGUGAGAUGUUGGGUUAAGUCCCGCAACGAGCGCAACCCUUGUCCUUAGUUGCCAGCAUUCAGUUGGGCACUCUAAGGAGACUGCCGGCUAAAAGUCGGAGGAAGGUGGGGAUGACGUCAAAUCAUCAUGCCCCUUAUGACCUGGGCUACACACGUGCUACAAUGGAUGGUACAAAGGGUUGCGAAGCCGCGAGGUGAAGCUAAUCCCAUAAAGCCAUUCUCAGUUCGGAUUGCAGGCUGCAACUCGCCUGCAUGAAGCCGGAAUCGCUAGUAAUCGCAGAUCAGCAUGCUGCGGUGAAUACGUUCCCGGGUCUUGUACACACCGCCCGUCACACCACGAGAGUUUGUAACACCCGAAGUCGGUGGGGUAACCUUUUGGAGCCAGCCGCCGAAGGUGG